Long non-coding RNA from Ananas comosus (pineapple), 560 nucleotides. RefSeq lists it as uncharacterized. The record is from RefSeq and is a predicted model, not a curated record. The transcript has 3 exons. NCBI's taxonomy places the organism in Eukaryota, Viridiplantae, Streptophyta, Magnoliopsida, Poales, Bromeliaceae.
CUGCUCUCGGGCUGGCUUCCUGUACCGGUACGCGAUCCCGUGUACCGGUACACCAGGGUAGGUGAGAGGGUGUUUUUGUCUUUUUCUACCUCGUUCGUAUCACCCUCCUCUCCCCAGCUUAUUUACAUGUAGAGUGAGGCUGAGAGAGAGAGUUUUGCUCUUGGUUCUCUCCCUCUCUCUCUCUAGAGCCGAUUGUGAGCAAGGUGGAGCUCGGGUGGAGUUUCGUCGCCGACGUGGUGCCGCGGAGCCUUUCGAGCGCACGUUGUGUCGUCUUGGUGCUGUGAGGUGCUCGGGCGAGUGUGGAUUUCCGUCGUCCUCGACAUUGCGCCGACUCUUGAGGAUCUAUCGAGUAUUUCAGCUCGUUCUCGACGUAGGAGCAUCAGAUUGCGAGGAGAGUUGGUUCAUUGGAUUCGGGACUUCGAGAGGAAUCCACGAAGCCCUUACUUGCUGGAUUUGGUGAAGAGCUUGGAAUUAGCUCGAGUGCUUGACUUGGAGGGUUCCCAUUGAUCCAGCAGGGGCCACUUUGGUUCGAGGCUUCGUUCGCUGCCAGGUGCUAGCAU